RNAcentral lists this ribosomal RNA (497 nucleotides) under uncultured bacterium. RNAcentral's name for it is "partial 16S ribosomal RNA". It matches the Rfam family "Bacterial small subunit ribosomal RNA", at positions 28 to 507 of the family's 1533-position model. The record is from RNAcentral.
GACGAACGCUGGCGGCGUGCCUAAUACAUGCAAGUUGAGCGCUGAAGGUUGGUACUUGUACCGACUGGAUGAGCGGCGAACGGGUGAGUAACGCGUGGGGAAUCUGCCUUUGAGCGGGGGACAACAUUUGGAAACGAAUGCUAAUACCGCAUAAAAACUUUAAACACAAGUUUUAAGUUUGAAAGAUGCAAUUGCAUCACUCAAAGAUGAUCCCGCGUUGUAUUAGCUAGUUGGUGAGGUAAAGGCUCACCAAGGCGAUGAUACAUAGCCGACCUGAGAGGGUGAUCGGCCACAUUGGGACUGAGACACGGCCCAAACUCCUACGGGAGGCAGCAGUAGGGAAUCUUCGGCAAUGGACGAAAGUCUGACCGAGCAACGCCGCGUGAGUGAAGAAGGUUUUCGGAUCGUAAAACUCUGUUGGUAGAGAAGAACGUUGGUGAGAGUGGAAAGCUCAUCAAGUGACGGUAACUACCCAGAAAGGGACGGCUAACUACGUG